RNAcentral lists this long non-coding RNA (3425 nucleotides) under Sparus aurata (gilthead seabream). RNAcentral describes it as "lncRNA (ENSSAUG00010014651.1)". Lineage: Eukaryota; Metazoa; Chordata; Actinopteri; Spariformes; Sparidae. The record is from RNAcentral.
UAUUUUGCCUGAAAGUUUCUAUUAGUUUUCAUAUUUUCCAUGAUUUGGAUAUAGUGUUGAAAGGUAACUCUUGUACUUCCGUACUUGCUCUUACUUCUCUACAGUACUCUCUGGACGAGUUGGAGGAGAUGAUGCUGUGUCUGCAACAGUUUUUCUCUGUGCUCAGCAACAUGGAGGAGCAGCUCUCUAAAGACCAGUCUGCAGUUUACAGUGUUCUCUCUGACCAGGACAGGGAGAAGGUUCGGGACAUAGAGGAGCUGAGGCGGGCAGUGAAAAAGGAGGCUGCAAAGCUGGAGAUACAGUUGAAUGAACUGUCCCAUCACUAUGAUGAUAGCUUGAAAAUGAAGAUGCACAGACUCUUGGAUGAGCAGUCUCAGCUCUGCUCUCAACUCAGAGUCUUUCUACCUGGAACGGUGCCCGAAAAUAAGACAGUCGCCACUCAGUGCUGUCUGCUGCCCUGGACUACAACGGCUGAUGUGCAGAAUGGCCACGCUUCCUAUUUAACCUGGAACAUGGACUAUGCCAGACAGUCACCUCCUGAAUCAGAGAGCACCUUCAAAGGCAUCAGCUGUUCCCCCACUAAGGCAGACAAGCUAGACAUAGUGGGCAUCCUCCAGAGACUGAAGGAGUCUUUGCGUCACUCUUUGAACACAGAAUCAGUGGAAUAAAGAAAACCCCAGUUAUUCUCCGCCCUGUUUCCCUGCCAGCCAACCUUCCUGCGCUCCUUCAUACCGGCUCUCGGAGACCAUGCCUGCCUGCCUGCCCACCUGCCAGCCUACCGGUCUGGAUAUCACACCCGCUUUACACCUGAAUGCACCAUUAAGAAAUAAACCUUUUCAAGGAAAAAUCAGAAUAAAUGACUGGAGAAACAUGACAAAUGUGGAUGCCUUCACCCAGGUGGACAAACAUCAGUCAUGCUCCAUGGCAUGUAUAAAAUACUGAGUAGGCACAGUUGAAACCGAUUUUGUAUUGAGAUGGCAGGAAGAAAAUGUGAGACUUUCAUUGUGGUGGCACAGAUGGCAGGAGCUUCUGUCACAAAGACUGUUCACCUGGCUAGUGUUUAAUAGGAACAGUGACCACCGUAACAUCUACAUUUAUAUUAAUGGGGAAAAAAACAUCGAUUAUAGGGUCUGUAAAUGGGGUCGACAUCAGGCAUUUGAUGACUGUGAUGCUUUUCCAUCAGUUUGAUAUGUAAGGAAAACCAGAUGAGCAACUUUUUCUCUGAUGCUGAUUGAGAAUGUCAAAGCAGCGUUUGACUUGGAUCUGGCGACAAAGCUGCAUGAAUCUGGGCGUACAGGUGGUCGAGUGGUUAGAGAGCAUGCCAUAAAUGCAGUUGACUCAUGUUCAAUUCUGGCCAGAGGUCCUUUGCUGCAUGUCACAUCCCCCUCUCUCUCCUGUGUUUCCUCUCUGUCUACUGCUAAUAAAGGUGUCUAUGCUAGAAAAAAACCUUUAAAAAAAGCUGCAUGAAUCUGGACUGUGAAUGUGACUUUUUGACGUGUAGAAGAACACAGCACAUAAAUUAACAUUAAAUACUAACUAAUCCUGUUGUGGUGAAUAAGGAGUUUUUAAUAAUCAUUGAAAUGAUCAUCCUCAUGCACAAAUGCACAUGUUGACGUAGAGAUACACACAACAUUUCUGCUGCUGGGGGACUGCUGCAAGCAACAUCAUUAAUAUUUUGGCAUUCAAGACACUAUUGAUCAGAACGAUAUUUUUAUGACCCGCCUUGCCUGACCCAUGGUCUGAGAUCCACACACAGGGAUGCAGAGCAGCGCUCCUCCUCCUCCUACAUUAUGUUAUGCCUAAAACACACCUAUGACUAAUGAAGAGUCUAAAUAGAACCCUUUCCUGCUUUUGUUGGCUCUUCCGGUUAACACCAGACUUAUGGGAGGUAGCCGGCAUGAUGUGGUGAGACCUCUUGAGAGCAGCUCCCUCCACUACAGAGGGGAGCUGUUCAAUUGGGUCUGGGGAGGAGCGGGUUUUCAAUGGGAAAGGGGGUGUAUAUAGGGGGCCUGGAUCCUCUGGUCCUCUGAAAGCUGGUCCUCCCAACCCAGCCCAGACCCUGAGUACCCCCAGACCCCGGGGGCCAGAGAAAACCCACAGUACAAAAAGGUAGUAAUAAUCAAAAAUAAAAAUGUAAAAAAACGAAUAAUAAUGAUAAUAAUAACACUUGUUAUUAUUAUUAUUAUUGUGAUAGAUAAUUUUUUUUAAAAAAAGGAUAAUAAUUCAUCAAAAGGGGAAAAGAAGGUGGAGGAGAGAGAAGAGAAAUAUAUUCACAUAUGCAUACAUAAAUACAGACACACACACACACACACACACACACACACACUGUACUAAAAAAGAAAGAGAAGAUAAAUAAAUGAAUAAAAAAUAUAAUAAUAAACAAAAAAUAGAGAUAACAAUAUAUCAAUAGCUUUUUGACUGAUAGUAACAGGGAUGGUAAAUAACGGAUGAUAACUAAAGAUACAUACAUUCAAACAUAUAUACGCCCCCAGAGUGCACUUACACAGACACACAUCCCACACAUCCAUGCAGCAGCAUUUAGACAUUCAUGUAAAAUAAAUUUGAGCAAUGUUUUGGGGGGUCAAAACAGCUGUAUAAUUAAUUUCAUCUACAUGACAAUUAUACCUUUAAAACUGCUCAAGUAUUAUCAUCAGCUCAAAAAUGUGUUAUGUAAGUUAUGUUAUGUAAGCAAAUGAAAACAUAUAAGUUUGUUGUUUAAUUUUAAGGAAACACUUCACUGAGUGUUGAAUAAUUACUCCCUCUCCAUCUCAGUCAAAAUUUUAAUUCUAGCUUCAGCAGUUUGUCCAGAUGGGCAGGGGGUGUCUGUGCAAGAUAACAGAUGCAGGGAAGAGAGGCAGGCUCCUCCUCCUAGCUUCAUUGUCGAGAGUUACACUGCUCCACUGUCUUUGAGACACUGCUGACAGUGAGGUAAGAACACUCUUAUUUGUACCUUCAGUUUAUUUUUAUUCCUCUUUCAGCUGAUGCUGUAUAUGCUUUUUCUUUUCUUUUUCUUUGCUGUUCUCUUAUUUAUUGCUGCCAAAUCUUUAACCACUUUGGUUUUCUUGGGUACGUGUUAUUUACCAUGCCCACAGUCAUCCUUGCUCAUUAGAAAAAGCAUGUCAAAUAAGGACCAUAAAUCUUGCACUUACUUGAAAAAAUGUUGUAACAAAUUAUUUUUUUUUUUGUCAGGUUAAGAGGCAAUGAUUGUUUUCUGUUUGAACAUGAGGCAGAUGUUCGGUUGCAGUCCCCCAACCGAAGUGCUUCAUCCUUUGUUAGUGUGUGCUGAUGAAUAAUGAAUGUAUGUGUAUGUGUGUGUGUUAUGUGAUCUUUGCUGAAAGCCUAGAGGGCCUCAGAGAUGACAACUGGCUGUGUGAGGUCGACCCUGGAGCCUGAACAUCGACUGAUGAUACAGGAGAGCAUGAAAU